UUGAGAAGAACAAACAUGACGUCAAAUUAUAUAGUCGAGUGCGACGUGGAGAAAUUUCUCGAGGCUACUAAAGCCCAUCCAAACAUUUUCGACCUCAGAAGACACGAUUAUAACGUUCAUGGCAGUUCAUAGUACAGCGCUAACGCCAACCAAACGUGGCGAAUCGAACGGAACUCGGCGAGUUCCGCGCUGGAGUUGGACUAUAAACCAGCCUUUAAGGCCUCAGAGCGGCAACAUAAGUCUUCUUGUCGUGUUGCCUCUCCCAAAAUUUGUGUCGGUGAAGGUGACCACUUAUUGUGAACGAUUCGGCGAAGAUGACCACUGUGUAAAUCCUUACCAACUUUCGAUCUCUCACAUUUCGUCUCCGAGCAAGACUCAUGCAAAGAUGACCGCACAGAUGUGAUUGUUAAGUCCGAUUCCCUAAUUCUUUUUUCGUCGGAAUCCCGAUCAACCGCUGCAUCAAUCCUUUUUCCUCGAGGGAAGACAUUUUCUUGAUUGUCUUCUACUCCGGUUACAUUCUUUUCUCUGCCCUAUCACGCCAACUGCGUGUCAUAUGAUUCUUUAUGUGACCGUAAUUCUUGGUUGUUUAUUUGUUCUUCUCUAUGGUAGAGGAUAGAGUACUCCGAGCCAACUGGAAC
This 638-nucleotide long non-coding RNA is filed under the name Androctonus crassicauda. Lineage: Eukaryota; Metazoa; Arthropoda; Arachnida; Scorpiones; Buthidae. The record is from RNAcentral.